AAAUUGAAGAGUUUGAUCAUGGCUCAGAUUGAACGCUGGCGGCAGGCCUAACACAUGCAAGUCGAGCGGUAGCACAGAGAGCUUGCUCUCGGGUGACGAGCGGCGGACGGGUGAGUAAUGUCUGGGAAACUGCCUGAUGGAGGGGGAUAACUACUGGAAACGGUAGCUAAUACCGCAUAAUGUCGUAAGACCAAAGUGGGGGACCUUCGGGCCUCAUGCCAUCAGAUGUGCCCAGAUGGGAUUAGCUAGUAGGUGGGGUAACGGCUCACCUAGGCGACGAUCCCUAGCUGGUCUGAGAGGAUGACCAGCCACACUGGAACUGAGACACGGUCCAGACUCCUACGGGAGGCAGCAGUGGGGAAUAUUGCACAAUGGGCGCAAGCCUGAUGCAGCCAUGCCGCGUGUGUGAAGAAGGCCUUCGGGUUGUAAAGCACUUUCAGCGGGGAGGAAGGCGGUGAGGUUAAUAACCUCAUCGAUUGACGUUACCCGCAGAAGAAGCACCGGCUAACUCCGUGCCAGCAGCCGCGGUAAUACGGAGGGUGCAAGCGUUAAUCGGAAUUACUGGGCGUAAAGCGCACGCAGGCGGUCUGUCAAGUCGGAUGUGAAAUCCCCGGGCUCAACCUGGGAACUGCAUUCGAAACUGGCAGGCUAGAGUCUUGUAGAGGGGGUAGAAUUCCAGGUGUAGCGGUGAAAUGCGUAGAGAUCUGGAGGAAUACCGGUGGCGAAGGCGGCCCCCUGGACAAAGACUGACGCUCAGGUGCGAAAGCGUGGGGAGCAAACAGGAUUAGAUACCCGGUAGUCCACGCCGUAAACGAUGUCGAUUUGGAGGUUGUGCCCUUGAGGCGUGGCUUCCGGAGCUAACGCGUUAAAUCGACCGCCCGGGAGUACGGCCGCAAGGUUAAAACUCAAAUGAAUUGACGGGGCCCGCACAAGCGGUGGAGCAUGUGGUUUAAUUCGAUGCAACGCGAAGAACCUUACCUGGUCUUGACAUCCACAGAACUUUCCAGAGAUGGAUUGGUGCCUUCGGGAACUGUGAGACAGGUGCUGCAUGGCUGUCGUCAGCUCGUGUUGUGAAAUGUUGGGUUAAGUCCCGCAACGAGCGCAACCCUUAUCCUUUGUUGCCAGCGGUCCGGCCGGGAACUCAAAGGAGACUGCCAGUGAUAAACUGGAGGAAGGUGGGGAUGACGUCAAGUCAUCAUGGCCCUUACGACCAGGGCUACACACGUGCUACAAUGGCAUAUACAAAGAGAAGCGACCUCGCGAGAGCAAGCGGACCUCAUAAAGUAUGUCGUAGUCCGGAUUGGAGUCUGCAACUCGACUCCAUGAAGUCGGAAUCGCUAGUAAUCGUAGAUCAGAAUGCUACGGUGAAUACGUUCCCGGGCCUUGUACACACCGCCCGUCACACCAUGGGAGUGGGUUGCAAAAGAAGUAGGUAGCUUAACCUUCGGGAGGGCGCUUACCACUUUGUGAUUCAUGACUGGGGUGAAGUCGUAACAAGGUAACCGUAGGGGAACCUGCGGUUGGAUCACCUCCUUACCUUAAAGAA
This 1546-nucleotide ribosomal RNA is filed under the name Klebsiella pneumoniae. RNAcentral describes it as "bacterial SSU rRNA". It matches the Rfam family "Bacterial small subunit ribosomal RNA". Lineage: Bacteria; Pseudomonadati; Pseudomonadota; Gammaproteobacteria; Enterobacterales; Enterobacteriaceae. The record is from RNAcentral.